CACAGCCUUCGGAUGUCCCCAGGAGGAUGCUGGGUAACUGGCAUCACUACAAAGUUGAUCAUGAAGGUCAGCCAGCCUGUCACCGGUUCACCCAAGGUCUACCAAGUAGUAAUACAUAUACUAAUGUCUACUAGAGGAGAAAGCAGAAAGCUACUACGAAGAUCAGCGAUCCAUCAUUCCCACCAGAUGACGUAGGUUAGUCAUGAAAGAAAAUGAUCCAGUUUGUAAAACAGUGGACAUGUAAGUGACAGAAAUGAUUUAGACAGGGGACAUCAGAACUGGGCUUGCAGGUCUGGAGCAUCCCACGGAGAUUCUGCCACAUUAUUUCACAAUUAUGAGGCUGGACAGGAUGCUUUUGAACCAAGGAAUUGAUAGCAUGAUGGUCUGAUCACAGUCGUGGUUGAAGAAGUCAACUUGGCAAUGUAAAAAAGCCAAGGAUAAGCGAGAAGAGAAAAUAAAACAUCCGAAAAUAAUUCUGAC
This 480-nucleotide long non-coding RNA is filed under the name Rattus norvegicus (Norway rat). RNAcentral's name for it is "long non-coding RNA NONRATT033492". The record is from RNAcentral. Lineage: Eukaryota; Metazoa; Chordata; Mammalia; Rodentia; Muridae.